Molecule: ribosomal RNA, 519 nt
Filed under: uncultured eukaryote
Lineage: Eukaryota
Description: SSU rRNA
Rfam family: Eukaryotic small subunit ribosomal RNA
Source: RNAcentral
AGGGCACCACCAGGAGUGGAGCCUGCGGCUUAAUUUGACUCAACACGGGGAAACUCACCCGGCCCGGACACCGUGAGGAUUGACAGAUUGAUAGCUCUUUCAUGAUUCGGUGGUUGGUGGUGCAUGGCCGUUCUUAGUUCGUGGAUCGAUUUGUCUGGUUUAUUCCGAUAACGAGCGAGACUCUAGCCUACUAACUAGUGCGGGCAUUGCUAUUGUGCCUCGCCGCACUUCUUAGAGGGAUUGGCUGCGUCUAGCAGCACGAAACAGAGCAAGAACAGGUCUGUGAUGCCCUUAGAUGUCCGGGGCUGCACGCGCGCUACACUGGCAAAGGCAGCGUGCUUGUCCAUCUCCGAAAGGAGUUGGUAAACCGAUGAAAAUUUGCCGUGAUUGGGAUCGGAAAUUGCAAUUAUUUUCCGUGAACGAGGAAUUCCAAGUAAGUGCGAGUCAUCAGCUCGCGUUGAUUACGUCCCUGCCCUUUGUACACACCGCCCGUCGCUGCCUAGAACUGAGCCAUUUCGA